Molecule: ribosomal RNA, 1717 nt
Filed under: Pseudhalenchus minutus
Lineage: Eukaryota; Metazoa; Nematoda; Chromadorea; Rhabditida; Anguinidae
Description: SSU rRNA
Rfam family: Eukaryotic small subunit ribosomal RNA
Source: RNAcentral
CUCAAAGAUUAAGCCAUGCAUGUAUAAGUUCAAACGAUUAUAUCGUGAAACCGCGAACGGCUCAUUAUAACAGCUAUAAUUUACUUGAUCUUGACAAGUUACUUGGAUAACUGUGGUAAUUCUAGAGCUAAUACAUGCACAAAAGCUCUGACCUUGCGGAAAGAGUGCAUUUAUUAGAACAAAACCAGGCGACCUUCUGGUCGUUAUUUGCUGACUCAGAAUAACUAAGCUGAUCGCAUGGUCUAGUACCGGCGACGUGUCCUUCAAGUAUCUGCCCUAUCAACUUUCGAUGGUAGUGUAUCUGACUACCAUGGUGAUUACGGGUAACGGAGGAUAAGGGUUCGACUCCGGAGAAGGGGCCUGAGAAAUGGCCACUAUGUCUAAGGAUGGCAGCAGGCGCGCAAAUUACCCACUCUCAGAAUGAGGAGGUAGUGACGAGAAAUAACGAGACUGUUCUCUUUGAGGGCCAGUCAUCGGAAUGGGUACAAUCUAAACCCUUUAACGAGUAUCUAUGAGAGGGCAAGUCUGGUGCCAGCAGCCGCGGUAAUUCCAGCUCUCAAAAUGCAUAGAAUUAUUGCUGCGGUUAAAAAGCUCGUAGUUGGAUCUGUGUCGCGAGGUUGGUCCGUCUGUUAAGGCGUGUACUCAAUUCUCCGACUUUUUGCUGGUUUUCCUGGCAUGGUUUAAUCGAUCGUGUCAGGUGGCUGGCGAUUUUACUUUGAACAAAUCAGAGUGCUCAACACAGGCGUUUCGCUUGAAUGUUUUUGCAUGGAAUAAUAGAAAAGGAUUUCGGUCCUAUUUUAUUGGUUUUAUAGGCUGAAAUAAUGGUUAAUAGAGACAAACGAGGCCAUUACUAUUGUUGCGUGAGAGGUGAAAUUCUUGGACCGCAGCAAGAGUAACUACAGCGAAAGCAUUUGGCAAGAAUGYCUUCAUUAAUCAAGAACGAAAGUCAGAGGUUCGAAGGCGAUCAGAUACCGCCCUAGUUCUGACCGUAAACGAUGUCAACUAGAGAUCUGCCGAUGGAAUUUGUUGCCAUGGUGGGGAUCUUCCCUGAAAAGAAAGUACUGACUCCGGGGGAAGUAUGGUUGCAAAGCUGAAACUUAAAGGAAUUGACGGAAGGGCACCACCAGGAGUGGAGCCUGCGGCUUAAUUUGACUCAACACGGGAAAACUCACCCGGCCCGGACACCGUGAGGAUUGACAGAUUGAUAGCUCUUUCAUGAUUCGGUGGCGAGUGGUGCAUGGCCGUUCUUAGUUCGUGGAGCGAUUUGUCUGGUUUAUUCCGAUAACGAGCGAGACUCUAGCCUACUAAAUAGUUUGGGCAUUUGUUUCAUGUGCUCAUAACUUCUUAGAGGGAUUUUCGGUGUACAGCCGCACGAAAUUGAGCAAUAACAGAUCUGUGAUGCCCUUAGAUGUCCGGGGCUGCACGCGCGCUACACUGGCGAAAUCAGCGUGCUUGUCCAUUUCCGAAAGGAAUUGGUAAACCAAUGAAAAUUCGCCGUGAUUGGGAUCGGAAAUUGCAAUUAUUUUCCGUGAACGAGGAAUUCCAAGUAAAUGCGAGUCAUCAACUCGCGUUGAUUACGUCCCUGCCCUUUGUACACACCGCCCGUCGCUGCCCGGGACUGAGCCUUUUCGAGAAAUUUGGGGAUUGCUGAUUAGCGGUUCUUCACGGGAUUGCUUUUUGGUGAGAACCAAUUUAAUCGCAGAGGCUUGAACCGGGC